This 406-nucleotide ribosomal RNA is filed under the name uncultured bacterium. Its description in RNAcentral is "partial 16S ribosomal RNA". It matches the Rfam family "Bacterial small subunit ribosomal RNA", at positions 30 to 526 of the family's 1533-position model. The record is from RNAcentral.
AUUGAACGCUGGCGGCAUGCUUUACACAUGCAAGUCGAACGAGUGGCGAACGGGUGAGUAAUAUAUCGGAACGUACCGAGUAAUGGGGGAUAACUACUGGAAACGGUAGCUAAUACCGCAUACCAUCAGAUGUGCCCAGAGUGGAUUAGCUAGUGGGUGGGGUAACGGCUCACCAAGGCGACGAUCCCUAGCUGGUCUGAGAGGAUGACCAGCCACACUGGAACUGAGACACGGGCCAGACUCCUACGGGAGGCAUCAGUGGGGAAUAUGGCACAAUGGGCGCAAGCCUGAUGCAGCCAUGCCGCGUGUAUGAAGAAGGCCUUCGGGUUGUAAAGUACUUUCAGCGGGGAGGCGUUACCCGCAGAAGAAGCACCGGCUAACUCCGUGCCAGCAGCCGCGGUAAUUC